This 425-nucleotide ribosomal RNA is filed under the name uncultured bacterium. Its description in RNAcentral is "partial 16S ribosomal RNA". It matches the Rfam family "Bacterial small subunit ribosomal RNA", at positions 354 to 796 of the family's 1533-position model. The record is from RNAcentral.
GUGGGGAAUCUUGCGCAAUGGGCGAAAGCCUGACGCAGCCAUGCCGCGUGGAUGAUGAAGGUCUUAGGAUUGUAAAAUCCUUUCACCGGUGAAGAUAAUGACUGUAGCCGGAGAAGAAGCCCCGGCUAACUUCGUGCCAGCAGCCGCGGUAAUACGAAGGGGGCUAGCGUUGCUCGGAUUUACUGGGCGUAAAGGGCGCGUAGGCUGACAUUUAAGUCAGGGGUGAAAUCCCGGGGCUCAACCUCGGAACUGCCUUUGAUACUGGGUGUCUUGAGUAUGAGAGAGGUGUGUGGAACUGCGAGUGUAGAGGUGAAAUUCGUAGAUAUUCGCAAGAACACCAGUGGCGAAGGCGGCUCACUGGCCCGAUACUGACGCUGAGGUGCGAAAGCGUGGGGAUCAAACAGGAUUAGAAACCCCAGUAGUCC